CCCUUAGAUGUUCUGGGCCGCACGCGCGCUACACUGACGGAGUCAACGAGUUGUCCUGCAUCGGAAGGUGUGGGUAAUCUUUUGAAACUUCGUCGUGCUGGGGAUAGAUCUUUGCAAUUUUCGAUCUUGAACGAGGAAUUCCUAGUAAGCGGGAUUCAUCAGAUCGCGUUGAUUACGUCCCUGCCCUUUGUACACACCGCCCGUCGCUACUACCGAUUGAAUGGUUUAGUGAGGCCUCGGGACUGGCGCGCUCGAGUAGCAAUACACCUGCGCGCCGGGAACUUGGUCAAACUUGAUCAUUUAGAGGAAGUAAAAGUCGUAACA
RNAcentral lists this ribosomal RNA (324 nucleotides) under uncultured eukaryote. RNAcentral's name for it is "partial 18S ribosomal RNA". It matches the Rfam family "Eukaryotic small subunit ribosomal RNA", at positions 1470 to 1796 of the family's 1831-position model. The record is from RNAcentral.